RNAcentral lists this ribosomal RNA (476 nucleotides) under uncultured organism. RNAcentral describes it as "partial 16S ribosomal RNA". It matches the Rfam family "Bacterial small subunit ribosomal RNA", at positions 334 to 801 of the family's 1533-position model. The record is from RNAcentral.
CACUCCUGCGGGAGGCGGCAGUGGGGAAUUUUGGACAAUGGGCGAAAGCCUGAUCCAGCAAUGCCGCGUGAGUGAAGAAGGCCUUCGGGUUGUAAAGCUCUUUUGUCAGGGAAGAAACGGUGAAAGCUAAUAUCUUUUGCUAAUGACGGUACCUGAAGAAUAAGCACCGGCUAACUACGUGCCAGCAGCCGCGGUAAUACGUAGGGUGCAAGCGUUAAUCGGAAUUACUGGGCGUAAAGCGUGCGCAGGCGGUUUUGUAAGUCUGAUGUGAAAUCCCCGGGCUCAACCUGGGAAUUGCAUUGGAGACUGCAAGGCUAGAAUCUGGCAGAGGGGGGUAGAAUUCCACGUGUAGCAGUGAAAUGCGUAGAUAUGUGGAGGAACACCGAUGGCGAAGGCAGCCCCCUGGGUCAAGAUUGACGCUCAUGCACGAAAGCGUGGGGAGCAAACAGGAUUAGAUACCCUGGUAGUCCCAUGAU